UGAUGUCCGUCGCUAUGACUCUCUCGUAGUGAUCUGCGACCUGUCCACGUGGCAAAACUUGUCAAAAUGCAAGAUCUGAUGCUAAAAUGAGUUAAAAGUUAAUGAACAUCAAAGUUACUGACGGCGAGAGCUGCUUGGCCGUUGCCGGUGGCGGCAUCCCAAGCUAAAAUGUGGUGAUCCGUGAGGCCGGCGAGCUUCGAGAACCAUUCCGAGGGGUAAUUAGGUCUGGCGUCUAGGAUUUGUGGAAUUGAAAGCUGGUUGAUGAAGAAACACGUCACUGCUUACGGAGCAAACAAGUAAAUGUCAAGUGGAAAAUCUA
Brassica rapa (field mustard) is the source of this 319-nucleotide long non-coding RNA. RefSeq lists it as uncharacterized. The record is from RefSeq and is a predicted model, not a curated record. NCBI's taxonomy places the organism in Eukaryota, Viridiplantae, Streptophyta, Magnoliopsida, Brassicales, Brassicaceae.